ACAUACCAGCAGUUUUUUUCAUUGAUUUUACCUUUGUAGUUUAUUGUCUUUUUAUCCUCUAGUUAAAAUUUUUUUGAGUUUGCACAUAUUAUGUUAAUUGAUGUAAUAUUCCUUUUGUAGACUAGCAUCUACACCAGCAUCAUACAGUACACAUACGAAAAAAGUGGCAUCUUUUGAUCCAUUCUAUGCGAACAUUACAAUAACAGCUAGUCAUCUUGGUAAGGCGGUGAUGUUUGAGUUCUCCACUAUUGCUAAAGGUCUUGGGGAAGCUGAUGUGAAUGGCAUGAUGAAACCUGUUC
Molecule: non-coding RNA, 299 nt
Organism: Theobroma cacao (cacao)
Lineage: Eukaryota; Viridiplantae; Streptophyta; Magnoliopsida; Malvales; Malvaceae
Source: RefSeq, a predicted model, not a curated record